Meleagris gallopavo (turkey) is the source of this 1622-nucleotide non-coding RNA. Lineage: Eukaryota; Metazoa; Chordata; Aves; Galliformes; Phasianidae. The record is from RefSeq and is a predicted model, not a curated record.
AAAGGGGACUCAGAGAGAUCCACUGGGCUCAAUUCCAGGAAACUACCAGUAAAUCUCCUACUGUGGCAACUGCCUGACCCCAUGGUUGUUUGAAAAUUCCUGCCACCUUCUCAUUUGUCCUGGCAGUGACACAGGUCACUGAGUAGAAAUGCCCAAGCUGCCCAGGCAGCAGUGACAGGUAGGGCCAGGAUCUCAGCUGAAUCCUGCCGUGGUUCAGACAUACAGCAAACACACGACCUCAUUCCACCUGAAACCUUUGGGAAGCUCAUUUGGCUAGUGCUUGAAAAAAACACACUGCAGGAUGUCAGACUCUCUUACCAUGAGCUCUGUGUUUGCUGAGGUGCAGUUCCACAGCACCCCAAGAACACAGAGAUGGAGGAAGCUUGUAUGUGGGUGGCCCUUGGGAAAAAAAGAAUGAACACUCGCUUUCUUAGUGUUGAAAUACUUUCUGCAGAGAUGGUAAAGAAAUCUGCUGCUGGUCCAGGGCCUCUGCAUAUCUAAAACCAUAUGAUGUAAAAAGAUGGCUCAGGGCAGAGCCUUGGAUCCAAGCGGUGCAAAUCAGCAUGUGGCAACUCAGAGCAAGCAGUGCUGCAAGGCAAAGAAAGAGUUACUGAUGCAAGUUUUCAUGCCACUGAAAUGUACUGGUCAGGAGAGAGAUCCAUGUUUCUCUUCUGCGAAUACAUGGCCAUUUUGAUAAUAGAAAGUGAGUCCAAGAUGUGAAAGGAAAGAGAUGACUGAAGUGAAAGAGCAAUGCAAAUGCUGAAUUCAUCCCCACAGAUUUUGAUGUCUCAGUCUCUCUCUCUGGAUAACUCAUCUGUGUUGCACUGUCAUUAAAAUACUUGUUACGUGACAUGAGCAAACUUACAGAAAAUUUAUGGAUCUUUUUUUUGCUUUGUCUUUUUCAUACAAGUAUGUAUUUGUGAUCUUAACCUUCCCCCAGUAUUGUUAUGAACUCACUGACCUCACCAACGAGCUUCUCCAUGCUUUUCUUUUAGAAAAGACAUUGAGUGGAAAAAGAUACAGCUUAAAAAGGUUUUCUCAGUGGCUAGAUAUUCUCAGUGUUUGUACAUGAGUCAAAUUCUGUAGUUAAAAAUGUAUCUACAGCAAAGUAAGACGAUUGAAAUGGCAAUGGAGACUUGAAGAGUUCAUGAGCUGAAUGAUGUCUCUGUUCCCUUCUCCACUUUCCUGCACUUUGCUGGUCACACAUGGGAGCAGAUACAGUAUGCAUGCAGUGACUUUAAAGAAGGUGAUGUAGAAUCCCAGGCAGGAAAUCCAAAUCUGAUGACAUAGGAAUGUGGUGCUAAGCAGGAAGGUGUGCAUCUGAGCUGCAGGCCCCAGUUGGGUCUCAAACAGGGUAACUGUGUUGUAGAUUGCAAUAAGGGCCAUUCGCUAUUACUUACAGGACUCAGGAAUGCAUACUAUUUCCUACCAAUAGGAAACUUAACAACAUGUUAAAUAAUUUGGCCGAACAAAAUUUUGUUUUUCUUCACUGUUAUACAUAUGCUGUGUAAACAGUAAAAUUGUUUAGAUCCAUUUCAGAGAAUUAAAAGAGUGUGGAAUGAGUUUGCCUUACUUUGCUUGCCACCUGUUUAAAUAAAAGCAGAACUUACUGUAGGCCCAGC